This 82-nucleotide transfer RNA is filed under the name Monostroma nitidum. Its description in RNAcentral is "tRNA-Leu". The record is from RNAcentral. RNAcentral also lists the same sequence under 1 other name. Lineage: Eukaryota; Viridiplantae; Chlorophyta; Ulvophyceae; Ulvales; Monostromataceae.
GCUUCCCUGAUGUAAUUGGUAGCCAUGAAGUGUUUAGGCCACUUUGCCGCGAGGCGUGAGAGUUCGAGUCUCUCGGGGAGCA